UAUAAAUGCAAGCUAGAGGGCAGCUUGUGUGCUAAGCAGACUUGUAAAACACAGUCCUGUCUGUCUGCACCAUGGCCUGGGCUCCUCUCCUCCUCACACUUCUGGCUCACAUCACAGGGGCUGAAUCCCAGGCUGUGGUGACUCAGGAAUCUUCACUGUCCAUCUCUCCUGGAGGGACAGUCACACUCACCUGUGCUUCCAGUACUGGGGCUGUCACAACUAGUAACUAUGCUGCCUGGGUCCAACAAAAACCCUCUGAAAUAACAAAGAGUCUAAUAUAUGGUACCAGCAACCGAAGCCCAGGGGUUCCUGCCCGAUUCACAGGCUCCUUCCUUGGAAACAAGGCUGCCUUCACAAUCACAGGGGCCCAGACUGAAGAUGAGGCCACCUAUUACUGUGCCUUGUGGUAUAGCAACCAUUUCCACAGUGAUACAAGCCUAAGGGGAAGUGAGACAUAA
Non-coding RNA from Cavia porcellus (domestic guinea pig), 458 nucleotides. The record is from the annotation of a RefSeq genome assembly. NCBI's taxonomy places the organism in Eukaryota, Metazoa, Chordata, Mammalia, Rodentia, Caviidae.